RNAcentral lists this ribosomal RNA (773 nucleotides) under uncultured bacterium. RNAcentral's name for it is "bacterial SSU rRNA". It matches the Rfam family "Bacterial small subunit ribosomal RNA", at positions 8 to 798 of the family's 1533-position model. The record is from RNAcentral.
AGAGUUUGAUCCUGGCUCAGGACGAACGCUGGCGGCGUGCUUAACACAUGCAAGUCGAACGGAAAGGCCCUUCGGGGUACUCGAGUGGCGAACGGGUGAGUAACACGUGGGUGAUCUGCCCUGCACUUUGGGAUAAGCCUGGGAAACUGGGUCUAAUACCGAAUAGGACCGCGCGCUUCAUGGUGUGUGGUGGAAAGCUUUUGCGGUGUGGGAUGGGCCCGCGGCCUAUCAGCUUGUUGGUGGGGUAAUGGCCUACCAAGGCGACGACGGGUAGCCGGCCUGAGAGGGUGACCGGCCACACUGGGACUGAGAUACGGCCCAGACUCCUACGGGAGGCAGCAGUGGGGAAUAUUGCACAAUGGGCGCAAGCCUGAUGCAGCGACGCCGCGUGAGGGAUGACGGCCUUCGGGUUGUAAACCUCUUUCACCAGGGACGAAGCGCAAGUGACGGUACCUGGAGAAGAAGCACCGGCCAACUACGUGCCAGCAGCCGCGGUAAUACGUAGGGUGCGAGCGUUGUCCGGAAUUACUGGGCGUAAAGAGCUCGUAGGUGGUUUGUCGCGUUGUUCGUGAAAACUCACAGCUUAACUGUGGGCGUGCGGGGGAUACGGGCAGACUAGAGUACUGCAGGGGAGACUGGAAUUCCUGGUGUAGCGGUGGAAUGCGCAGAUAUCAGGAGGAACACCGGUGGCGAAGGCGGGUCUCUGGGCAGUAACUGACGCUGAGGAGCGAAAGCGUGGGGAGCGAACAGGAUUAGAUACCCUGGUAGUCCAA